This 87-nucleotide transfer RNA is filed under the name Patescibacteria group bacterium. Its description in RNAcentral is "tRNA-Ser". It matches the Rfam family "tRNA". Rfam says of the family: Transfer RNA (tRNA) molecules are approximately 80 nucleotides in length. The record is from RNAcentral.
GGACAGGUGGCUGAGUGGUCUAAGGCAGCGGUCUUGAAAACCGCCGCUCCCGCAAGGGGGCCGUGAGUUCGAAUCUCACCCUGUCCG